GCUGGGCGUGGUGGCGCACACCUGUAAUCCCAGCUGCUGGGGAGGCUGAGGCAGAAGAAUCGCUUGAACCCAGGAGAAUCUGCAGUGAGCCGAGAUUGCACCACUGCACUCCAGCCUGGGCAACAUAGCAAGACUCUGUCUCAA
This 144-nucleotide signal recognition particle RNA is filed under the name Gorilla gorilla gorilla (western lowland gorilla). Its description in RNAcentral is "Metazoan signal recognition particle RNA". It matches the Rfam family "Metazoan signal recognition particle RNA". Rfam says of the family: The signal recognition particle (SRP) is a universally conserved ribonucleoprotein. It is involved in the co-translational targeting of proteins to membranes. The record is from Rfam by way of RNAcentral. Lineage: Eukaryota; Metazoa; Chordata; Mammalia; Primates; Hominidae.